This 420-nucleotide ribosomal RNA is filed under the name uncultured bacterium. Its description in RNAcentral is "bacterial SSU rRNA". It matches the Rfam family "Bacterial small subunit ribosomal RNA", at positions 356 to 774 of the family's 1533-position model. The record is from RNAcentral.
AAGGAAUAUUGGUCAAUGGACGCAAGUCUGAACCAGCCAUGCCGCGUGAAGGAUGAAGGUCCUCUGGAUUGUAAACUUCUUUUAUCUGGGACGAAAACGGGAUUUUUAUCUCAAUUGACGGUACCAGAGGAAUAAGCACCGGCUAACUCCGUGCCAGCAGCCGCGGUAAUACGGAGGGUGCGAGCGUUAUCCGGAUUUACUGGUUUUAAAGGGUGCGUAGGUGGGCUUAUAAGUCAGUGGUGAAAUCUCCGAGCUUAACUUGGAAACUGCCGUUGAUACUAUAGGUCUUGAAUUAUCUGGAGGUAAGCGGAAUAUGUCAUGUAGCGGUGAAAUGCUUAGAUAUGACAUAGAACACCAAUUGCGAAGGCAGCUUACUACAUAUAAAUUGACGCUGAGGCACGAAAGCGUGGGGAUCAAACA